RNAcentral lists this unclassified non-coding RNA (254 nucleotides) under rhizosphere metagenome. Its description in RNAcentral is "partial ribosomal RNA internal transcribed spacer region". The record is from RNAcentral.
GAAAUAAAACUGAACAGGCUGUUUGCUGGUCCUCUCGAGGGCAUGUGCACGCCUGUCGUCUUUAUUCUUCCAACCGUGCACAUAUUGUAGGCCUGGAGUUUUUUCUUAUCGUUCGAAUAGAUUGAGGACUGCCGUCGAGGCUUUGCCUUGUGAUUCCAGGUCUAUGUUGUAAUACAUUUUCACAACGUGUUUUAAGAAUGUCGAGUACUGGGGAUAACAAAUAUACAACUUUCAGCAACGGAUCUCUUGGCUCU